This 72-nucleotide transfer RNA is filed under the name Caudoviricetes sp. Its description in RNAcentral is "tRNA-Gln". It matches the Rfam family "tRNA". Rfam says of the family: Transfer RNA (tRNA) molecules are approximately 80 nucleotides in length. Their secondary structure includes four short double-helical elements and three loops (D, anti-codon, and T loops). Further hydrogen bonds mediate the characteristic L-shaped molecular structure. tRNAs have two regions of fundamental functional importance: the anti-codon, which is responsible for specific mRNA codon recognition, and the 3' end, to which the tRNAs corresponding amino acid is attached (by aminoacyl-tRNA synthetases). tRNAs cope with the degeneracy of the genetic code in two manners: having more than one tRNA (with a specific anti-codon) for a particular amino acid; and 'wobble' base-pairing, i.e. permitting non-standard base-pairing at the 3rd anti-codon position. The record is from RNAcentral. Lineage: Duplodnaviria; Heunggongvirae; Uroviricota; Caudoviricetes.
UGGGUUGUCGCCAAGCGGUAAGGCACAGGACUUUGACUCCUGUAUACGAGGGUUCGAAUCCCGCCAGCCCAG